This 247-nucleotide ribosomal RNA is filed under the name uncultured bacterium. Its description in RNAcentral is "partial 16S ribosomal RNA". It matches the Rfam family "Bacterial small subunit ribosomal RNA", at positions 523 to 769 of the family's 1533-position model. The record is from RNAcentral.
AUACGUAGGGAGCAAGCGUUGUCCGGAAUUACUGGGCGUAAAGGGUGCGUAGGUGGCCAAGCAAGUCAGAUGUGAAAUCCCCGGGCUUAACUCGGGUGCUGCAUUUGAAACUGCGUGGCUUGAGUGCAGGAGAGGAAAGCGGAACUCCUAGUGUAGCGGUGAAAUGCGUAGAUAUUAGGAGGAACACCAGUGGCGAAGGCGGCUUUCUGGACUGUAACUGACACUGAGGCACGAAAGCGUGGGGAGC